CCGGUGCUCCCGUCUAUCUGGCCGCCGUCCUUGAAUAUCUGGCCGCUGAGGUAAUUUCUCAUCUACAUCUAAUUUGGUUUUGAUUAAAGUUUUUCAUCUGAUAGAUCUAGGGUUUCGAAAUUUGAUUCGGUUGAUUUGUCCUUUUUUGCCUGCAUGUUCAAUUCUAUCAAUUGAAUCGACAAUAAUUAAUUUUUGAUUUCUUUUACGAUUGAACGAUUUUGGUGUGUCUGAUUUUCAGGUUCUUGAGUUAGCUGGGAAUGCUGCCAGAGAUAACAAGAAGACCCGAAUUGUGCCUCGUCAUAUUCAAUUGGCUGUGAGGAAUGAUGAAGAGUUGAGCAAGCUUCUUGGGGAUGUCACCAUAGCUAACGGUGGUGUUAUGCCCAACAUUCACAAUCUUUUGCUUCCAAAGAAGGCUGGUGGCUCAUCCAAGGGUGCUGGUGCUGACGAUGACUCCUAAGUAUUGGGAUUUAAUUUUUGUGAACUGAGGCUGAAAUUAGAUUCUCCAUUGUCUUACUGUUUUGUAGUUCUUGAUCUUUGUGUUCUGUAGUUUUAGUUAGUUUCUCAGGUAGUGAUUAUGUGAAUAGCGGAAGCUCUUACUGUUCAAGAAAGAUUGUUGGAAAUUUAAAUCAUUUGACAUCAUCUUCCAAUCUCGAUCUAGUCGUAGAUAACAUCUGAUAACAUCUGUUUGUGCAGAAUUUGAUCAUGAAUAUUAUUAUCGUGUUUUCUGUUGAAGGAAUUACUCUUGAAAUUUUUGUGGGUUUGUUUGUUUUUUUUUUUCUUCAGAGUUGGUUCUUGCUUCAACACUAAAUAAUUUCUGUCGGAGUGAAAUCUAGUAGUGUGUUUAUUAACUGUUUGACUUGUUUCUCUAGUUCUACUAGUUGUAUUAUCAGGUGAACAAUGUUUGGGUUGAUAAGUAUGAACCCGUUGGAGUUAAUUUCAAUGAUUUUUGAUAAAGCAAUUAUGUUUUAGAAUCUAGCACUAUGGUGUUUUUGAAAUCUUAUGGUGGAAAGAGCGAAAUAGAACCUGUUUAUUGUGGUGGAUGCACUAAUUUUUUUAGUCAUUUUCUUGGUUGCUUCCUCUGUGAUGUUUUGAAUAGGCUAUAGUAGAAAGUUUGAUUAAUUCCCUUCAAUUCGUGUUUGGAAUUUAACUGAACAGAAAAUCAAAGCAUUUGAAGUUUAGACUUUACUGGAACAGGUAAUUAAAAAGAGGCUUGGGUUGUUUUGCCUGUUGAAAGUUUUGUAUUGUUGAAAUAUUCUGAAAUGCUUAGUUCUUAAAGUGCACGAGGUGUUAUAUAAUCCUUUUAUGCUUUUGAGAUUUAAUAGAAUUUUGUAGCCUAUGCCUUAACAUUGUAAUUCUUUGUUAUUUCUUUUGGUUUCAUAGGAUUAGAAUAAAUUUGCUUUUUCUUAUGCAGGACUCAUUUCUGAAUCUCUCUUAUAAAUAUCCUAUGAGAUGCUGAAUGCUGAAUAGAAAAUUGUUGUGUGAAAUGCGGAAUAGAAAAUUGUUGUGAGAUGCUAAGGACCUUCUGCAGAGAAAUUAUAUUUACAUCAUUAAAAAUUCAAUAAUAUUAAGUAAUGGAAUAAAAAAAUACGAUUUUAUGUAAGGUUGUGUUUGGAAAACAAGUAAAAAUAAUAUAAUGAUAUUAACUUUUUAAACAAUAUAUGGAGUAGAGAGCAUUAUUACAAUGAACCAGGUUAUUGUCCGGUCCAGUGCUUAUGGUGUUUCUUCUUAUAUAUCCAUGGGCUUUUGUCAACAUUUUUAUUAUAUUAAGAUAUAUACAAUUUUAUUACUAGUAAUUAAUCAAAAAAUAUAUAAUUUACUAACUAAUAUUUCUAAACAGACCUAUAAUACAAUACUUUUACAAUAAACUACUUUUCAAAUCUAAUUUUUAAUAAAACAUUUUUUGGUUUAGAAUGUAAGUAAGUUUUGAGUUUAUCUUCAACUAGAAUGAUUUUUUUUAGGUAUUUCAACUGCAUACAUUAUACUUAAAUUAAUUUUCUAUUGGGGUAUACUAUGUCAUAAGAAUAAAGUUCUUUUCUAUCUUAAUAUCUUUGAUUGUUAGCAAAUAAAAAGUUUAUUGACAAUAUAAUAAGAUUUAUAAAAUCAUUAUAUUAAAAUGAGAUGUUAAGAGAUCUUAAAAAUAAUAUUGAAGUAAUUUCUGUAAAUUAAGGCUUCAUAAUAACUUUUGCAAUCAAGAUCACCCUAUAUAUUCAACCAAGACAAAAUCUUACUAUAAUAAUUUAUUUAAAUAAAUAUAGAAAUCUUCAUCAAUAAUAUAGUAUUUUACACUAAUAUUACAUUCUUUUCAUUUUCAAAGGAUAAUUUUAGAAUAAAUAUUAUCAAAACAUGUUUUAUUUAUAUAUCAUAUAUAUAUAUAUUUAUAUUUUUAAGUAAAUAUAUAUUUAUAUGUAAAUUAAUUCGAUAUCGGUGAAGAGUAAAAAUAUCAUUGACGAAAAAGUAACCAAUGUUGUUUUAAAUAUUAGAAAUCAUACAAACAAAAUGUUUUAAAAGUUUAGAAAGUUAGAGGGAGAGAGACAGUGCAGUACUUUGAAUAAGAUGAAACUGAAGUCAAUAUUUUCUUAGAAAUAUUAAAUGUUUUGAAUAACUUUUAAAUUAUACAUAAAAAAUGUGGUGCAAAAAGAAAAGAGAAAAAUUUAUUUUGAUUUUAAUUAUUAGUUUAUAUUGUAAUAUCAAAUAGGAAAGGACUCUUUGUCAUUAAAAACAUAAUUAUUGUACUUUUUUUUUAUUUUACUAUGGUUAAUUAUGGUUUAGUUAUUUUUAAAAUGUUUUAUAUUAUAUGUUUUUGAUUGAAUUUGUUGACUAUUUUACAAAUGACGCAUGUUGGUAAACAGGUAUUUGAAAAUAUGUUUGCUUUUGAGAAUUUUUCUUAAACGGAUUUUAUCUAAUAUUCUUUUCCUUAUUCUUUUGUUUAAAUUUUGAAAGAAUGAUUUUCUGUGUAUUUUUCUCACUUACUAUUUUGAAUUUUAGAAAUGAGACAUUAGUGUGUUUUAUUUAAGAAAUAAAAAGAUUUAAUUUUUAAUUUGAACAUUAUAAGAAAAGUUGAAUUAAUUUUCUUAUUUAAAAACUAUAUUUAUUUAAAAAUUAUAUUAGGUUUUAAGGUGAAUAUUUAAUUAUGAUCGAAAAUUACAAAAGAAAAUAAAAUAUUCAAAAUUAAAUCAAUCCAAAAAUUAUAUAUUUUAAAAUCACUUUAAAUACUCAUAAAUCAAUUAAAAUUUAUUGAUUGAUGAAUUUUAGAUAUUUUAUUCGUUUCUUAAUUAAUUAGUUUAAUUCAAAUUUUAUAUUAAUUUUUUAAGAAAACCAAAUUAAACUACUUAUUACAUUAAACUAUCAUAUUAUACAUUUAACUAAAAAUAUAUUUAUUAACAUUUGUUUUUAUAUUUUAUUUUAUUUUAUUUUAUCUAUAAUUUUCAAAACACGGUAACAAAACAAUGUAGAUAUUAUAGUUUCUAAUGGUAAGAUAAGUAAUUUAUCUAUCAAAUUAAAAUUGUAUAUAUGAAGUAAUUAUAAGAGAACAUACUAUGUUUUCAUUUUAGAGUUUAAGAAAAAUAAUAAUUUGGUGGUUAUAAAAUUGUUAAUUGCAAUUUUUAAACUAAAUUAUUACGAAAACAACAUAUGACAGUACGAUCAUAUAAUAGACCAAACUCUUAUUCAUCAUAUAUUUUUUUACAAUUAGCAAUUAAUGUUUAUAAUAAAUUCAGCAUUUAAAUAUUUUAUUAUAAAUUAUAAUAAAAUUAAUAUGUAUAAAGUGUCAACACAAAUCAUUGGAAUUUAUCUUUAUAAUAAUGAAUUAUAUAUAUACUACAUUAUUUUUUUUACACUAAAACUCAAAAUUACGUAUUAUAUUUUACAUUUUUUAAAUUGAUAUUUAUGUUUAUUUAUAUUUAUUAAAAUAAACUAUAAAUUUAUAUUAUAAUAUUUUAAUUUUUUAAAAUAUUAUAAUAAACUUUAUUUUAAUAUAAAAAAAUUAUAUUGAUCAAAUCACAUACAAUAUCCAAUAAAAUAAUUAUUUAUAUUUUUAAAAAUUAGUAAAUAUAUCUUCAAUAUUUGUCAAAUGAUAAUAUAUUAGUAUAUUUUAAAAAAUUAUAUAUAUUCUCAUAUAUAUUUAUAUUUAUUAAAAUAAAUUAUAAAUUUAUAUUAAUUAUAAUUAUGAGAAUUAUAAUAUUAUUUAUUUUAUUUUUAAAUUUAAAUAUAAUUAUAUAAAUAAAAAAUAAAAAAUAGGAAUACAUAUAUUUUUUUAGUUAUUUGUAGAAAAGUUUUUUUUCAAUUACUAAUAGAAAAGUUAAUGUAUAUCUCUUGUUACACCCAAAAAUAUAUAUAACUAUUACAAUACAAAUUUUACUGAUUUUUAUUAGAGGGUGUAGGUAUCAUUUUAACUUAUUUUUAUCCCUUUAAGAAAGCAAUUUGACCUAGUUUCUAGAAGGACAAGUAUAUGAUGCGGGUUUGACUUAAGGCUACCUAUUGUUUUCCAUCCUACUCCUCUUGCUUGUUUUUCAAGGCUCCUUUACCUAUAAAUAGGAGGCCUACUCAUUGUAUUUUACAUGUUGAAAUUGAAUAGAAAAAUUACUUUACACAAAUAUUGUGAGAGCUUGGGUGAGUAUUGUCUCCUCUUCCUUUUGGUCUUAUCUUGAUGAGAAUGAAACUCUCAAGUGACGGCCUAACACUUAUCUUGGUGGUUUCCACCCAUCAAGCGGCGUGACCACCCACCACCAUCUCCAUAAGUUUCUUCUUCCAUUUCCUUCAUGUUCCCUUUCCAUUAAUGUUUUAAUGUUUCCUAGUUUUCUUCUUUAUUUCGGCAAUUACAUACAUGUCACCAUACAAUGUCUUUUUAUAUUUGCCUUUGUGAAAUGCACCUUCACACCUACUUAACCAUUUGGUUAAGUUAGUGCCCAGUGGAAAAUUUCCUAAUGUCAUCACCAUUAACUCCAAAAUUUUCAAUCUUAAAGUAAAGUGUCACCAAAAUGAAAACAUCUAAAAAUUAACUCACAUCAAUACUCCUCCAUGAAUCUUACUUUGAAACUCUCUCAUGUGACAACUUCUUCUCUGUCCUCCAUCAUCUGCUUCAUACCUAUCCACCAAAACUCAGCUUCUUCAAUAAGCAUAUAGAUGGCAUAAGAUAACUUUCUCUUUUAAGGGCAUUAAGUAGCUUCAAAGAUUCUUUCUAUGUCUCUCACCCACUGAUUUGCUUCAUAUGGAUUUACCUUCCCAUUAAAUUUGGGUGGAUAGUGUCUCGGAAAGUCCUCCAGACUAAAGAUAUGUGGUUGUUGAUGAAGCUCAUACUCUUUUACUGCUAAUCUAGCAGUUUCUAAUUGAUGAAGGGCGGCCUAAUGCUGGUGUGCCAUAAUAGCACUUUGUUGUUGCAAGGUUGUUGCCAUCAUCUCUAUUGCUCGAGUUAAGUUGGGCAUAUCUAUUGAUGGAAAAGGAGUAGGUGGUCUACGUGCCAUCUUCUAAGCACAUAAAGAUUUGGAUUAGAAAUUACCAAAAAAUUUCAACUAAAUCUUUAAGACAAAUUAACUUCAAAGAAAUAAUCACACAAGACAGGUAAAAACCAAUUACGACUUAUCUCUAAAAUGUAUUCUAAUUAUUUAGAAUUAAGAUAAAAAAUAAUCUUGAUCCAAUCAUGAGUGUGCACCUUCACCACUCUAUCAAGAUUCUUUUCAUUCUUAAUACUUUCAACUUUUUUUAGAACAACUAGUUUGACUCAAGCAAAAACAAGAUUUCAAGAAAACAACUUUGUUAAACAUCCUAUCAGAAAAUUUUAACUAAGUCUUGAAGCUAGACUUAAAAGAAAUCUAAACGUAGGAGAAACACAAUAAACCCACUACCCUUAUGUUAUCCUAAGGAUAAUCCGCUCUGAUACAUUAAAUAUAACACCUCAAAAAAUACAUCUAACUAUUACAAUACAAGUUCUACUGGUUUCUAUGCAAACUUUGAGUAUUUCAAAACAUUUCCAUUACAAGAUUAUGACUUAUAAAAAUACCAACAUUUACAAUAUAAGGUUUAAAACAUCCUAAAGUUUUUGGGGACCUCCUACACCUGUAUGAUCAUCUACUCGUGUACACAGUACAAUUAUCGCAGUUCACAACACAACAAGAAAAACAAGGGUAAGCCAGUAAAAUAUAGAUUUUAUAAUAUGCACAAAUAAAUCAAAAGAGAAAACCAAAUUACAUGAAUCAAUUUCAGAAUUAUUCAAUCUUCUUCAAAUCCCAACAUAAAACAAUCAAUAGAUCUCACGUGGAUCUACACAUCCAGAAUAUUCAACAAACAUAAUAACAACUAAAGGCUUCUAGAAGACCUGUAUUAAGUAAGUCCUACCAGAGACUAACACAUGAUCCAAAGAUUACCAACAAAUCCAACAAAAAGGAUCAAUGUAAGUUCAAUACAACCCAAGUCGUGCAUCUCAUAUGUCACAAUGUGCAUGAACUCUCCCAUCAACUUCUCAUUCUCACCACCUGAUAUCUUAGUCUAUGUGAUUUAGAUCAUCAGUGAAGCUCGAAGAUUUCUAUUACCAUAUAGGCAUCAAUACUUAAUACACAUACAAACAUCAAUCCAUACAUUAUCCUAAAUGUAUGAAUUCAAUUCCAUACCAUUUUCAUCAUACAAUAUCAUUCAAAACACGAUCCACUACAUUCAACAGUCAUAAAAAAACAACACUUAAAUACUAAACCAUCAAAAUCUAAUAUUUCUAUAAGUUUAAAUAAUAUAUAAACAAACAACACAAUAUAUAAAACACUCAACAUCCAUGCAAGAGAAAUUGAAUAUUUGGACCAUGUUCCCUCUACAUCCAGAUCUUCUAGCCUAGGGUGCUAUUAAAAAUGAAAUUUAUCUUCCCUUACCUUAGUUGCUUGCUUUCCAAGCAACCUCUAAAAUUUUAUCCUUCUAGUAUGGAUAAGUUUCAAGAUUUAAGGGCCUAAUGCAAGUUAUCCAAACAAAACAGAAAUUCAGUAUAUAGUAGAAUAAGUUGAGAUGAUUACUCUUCUCAACUGAUCCCACAAAGAUUGAUGACUAAAUUGUAAAGAAAAACAGAGAACAAAGAUCUUUAAAGCAAAAAUGAACUUACUCUGAUUGAAAAUUUAAUCGGGUAAAAAUGUUCCUUAACUCCUCAGUUACGAUGUGAUCUGAUCAAAUUCUAAACUAUAUGAAAAUUGGAGUAGAUAAUUAAGAGAGAAGGAAGAGAAGAGAAGUUGUGAGAAAGAGAAAAAGGAAAAGAACGUAAUUGGGAUUUGUAAUUUUUUUGUUUGGUUGUUACAUUUAUUACCUAAUAUAUAUUUAAAAAAUACAUAUACAUAAACUUUGUAUUCGUAAUUUUUAUUUUUAUGAUAAUUUUUUGUUUAUCUACUUUUUUAAAAUAUAGCAAAAUAAUCAUUUGUUUAAUUUUUAAUAUUAAAUAUACUUAUAUAUAAAUAAUAAUAAAUUAUUGUUUCUUAUAGUAUAUUAAUUAUGAGAAUAACUUAUCAGUUACUCAUUAUUAAAAACAUAUGUUAAAUGAAACUAUCUUUUAAGAGCGUGUAUAACGACGAAGAAGCGUAGACAUAUUAUGCACAACGAAACAAAAUAGAAAAGCGCCUAAAAUAAAAUUGAAUAAACAUGAAAAUAAAAGAAAUUAUUCUAAACUUUUCGUGGCAAGAAAAAGUUAAAUAUAUAAUUGAUUAUUAAUAAAAUUAUAUAUAUAUAUAUAUAUAUAUAUAUAUAUAUAUAUAUAUAUAUAUUGUAGAGCGCGCACCCCCAACGACCGAGGACAUGAAUUAAUAAUACAACAUAAUAAAUAUGUGACAAGAAAGCAGUUACAACUAAUUUUGAAUGAGUUAAAGACACACUUCGAAACGUACUCCCGUAAUAUCAGGAAGCCACUACACACGACCUGAGGAUCACUACACAUGUCUUGGCAAACUGGUUAUCUGGCCCACACGAGUAGAGGCCCAAGUCAACCUAUAAAGGAGACUUCUGACGGGGGAAAAUGUACGUUUUUCAUAUCCUGAGAGAACAAAUAAAACACUAGCACUGACUUGAGCGUCGGAGUGCAAUCGCAGGUACCCCCACCAACCGGCGGAGCACAUGCGUAGGAGAGGAAGAGCUUCGAAGGAUUUGGAGGCUACCAGCACGACAACGAAUUGUGUACCAAGUGGACAAGCAUUACUUAGGCCCCGACAUCCAUACAGGUACAAUUGGCGCCCACCGUGGGGCCCGAUUAAUUUUUAGCUUUCAGUCUCAAGGACUUCAACCAGCAGCGAUGGUAUCCACAGUGAAUAACGCGAACAAUGACAACACGACAGAGAAUCAAAUGGUGAUGUUGCAAGCCCUUCAAGCCCAGAUGCAGGAGUUGUUGUAGAAAGGAACUGCAAAUCAGUUGCGUCAUGAAGAGGAUCGACGUAAGCAAGAAGAAGAACGGCGUCGACAGAUAGAGGAAAUGGCUCAAUUAAAGGAGCAGAACAAAAGACUACUUCAGCGACUUGAAGAGUCCGAACGGGAAGGGCAUUCCCUUGCACCGACACCACAGACGCAUCAAUCCGGGUCGAAGCCACCAACACCCCAAACUCAGUUGGUGCAUCACACUUCUCUUACGCAUCACACACACCAAAGCGUUAAAUACACCUCUCUCGGCAGAGUAGCAAAUCCAAGGGGUCAUCCUUUCACGGAUGACAUCAUUGCUACACCCCUUCCCGACAAGUGGAGGGGCUUAACGAUGAACCUUUAUGAUGGCUCCAUCGAUCCAGAUGAACACUUGAAUAUUUUUAGGACGCAAAUGACCUUAUACACCAUGGAUCAAACAGUGUGGUGUAAGGUUUUUUCCACCUCACUGAGGGAAGGGCCACUGGGAUGGUUUACCAAGCUCCCACAGAAUUCUAUGGCUAGUUUCGACAUUUUAGAAACAAAGUUUACCAUCGAGUAUGCUACAAGUAGACCCCAUCGUACGUCUUCAAUGUCUCUCUUCAACGUCAAACAAGAAAAAGGAGAAUCGUUGAGGGCUUUUAUGGAUAGAUUCAACAAGGUUUGCAUGGGAAUCAGGAAUUUGAAUCCUUACAUAGCAAUGCACCAUUUAGUCUCGGCCAUACUGCUAGGUCGGUUCACAUAGAGCCUUAUAAAACGACAACCAUACAACAUGGACGAAUUAAGAACAAGAGCAACCAAAUUCAUGCAAAUAGAAGAACACAUUGACUAUCACCAGAAAACGUUGGCAGAAGCUUCUGAAAAAGAAAGAGAGAAAAAUAGGGGUAUCCGUCCUCCCGCAAUGGGGACCGACCGAGACCAGUAUCGUCCGAACAGAGGUCCUCGUCUCCAUAACUUCACUCCUCUGACGGUGCCUAGAGGGAGGAUUCUGGAUGAAGCCUUACAAGCUGAACUCAUCCCAGCGCUCAAACAAGCGCAAACACCACCCAAUGCAGAUACGACUAAGCGUAGUCAAUAUCACCGCAAUUACAGCCACACGACCGAAGGCUGCUAGGCAUUAAAAGAUAAAAUAGAAAAACUCGUUCUAGCCGGCCAUCUCCACAAAUUCGUUAGAACUUCUGCCGCUGUGCCACGGUCACCCUAACAUGACGUCGACUAUCCCAGAGAUAAGGAAUGCCCUGGAUGAAGGGAUAACCGAAAUCGUGAUGGUUAUCGUCGCACCACUCGGCAGAAACGAAGUGAAAGUCCGAUCAAGCGGACCCAACCACGAAGUGAGAGCCCUGACCGGAGAAGUCGAACCAAACAAAGGGUUCGUGAAGUUAUUAACACCAUUGUUGGCCCAGUUUCACUUGGAGUACCACCUCAGGAGGUUAAUUACAUAACAGGUGGCUUCCCGGGCGGUGGAUGUUCUAACUCUACGAGGAAGAAGCAUCCGAGGGUGAUUCAGUCCAUCCAUUCAACUUCUACACAUAAACGCCUAUAUAUACCUCCAAUUACCUUUACUGACGAUGACUUCACCGUGAUCGACCCCGCUCAGGAUGACCCCAUGGUCAUUACGGUAGAAAUAGACAAAUUUUCAAUCGCUAAAGUUCUGGUAGAUCUAGGUAGUUCGGUCGACAUCCUCUAUUGGGAAACAUUUAAAAAGAUGCGAAUUUCGGAGGCAGAAAUACAACCUUACGAUGAACAGAUAGUUGGAUUUUCAGGGGAACGAGUAGACACCAAGGGAUACAUUGACUUAUUCACCACCUUUGGUGACGAUUCUCUCAGAAAAACAGUUAAUAUCUGAUAUUUGUUGGUUAAUGCCAAUACAUCUUAUAAUAUACUACUCGGAUGUCCUUCCAUAAACAGGUUAAAAGCUAUUAUUUCUACUCCUCAUAUGGCCAUGAAGUUUCCCUCCAUUAAUGGAGACAUCGCCACCGUGCAUGUUGAUCAGAAGAUUGCGCGAGAAUGUUAUGUAGCGAGCCUGAAGGUUGAGCCAACUAGACGAUUGAAUACCACAACGAACGACCGAUCUCUGAGCAGAAGGGGGAGGUCCCAGAGAGGCGUUCCAGGGGAAGAGGCUCUAGAAGGCACGUAGUUGCUCUUGUAGACCUAGACCCGCGAUUGGAUGACCCUCGGAUGGAGGCCGGAUAAGAUCUUCAGCCCAUAUUCCUUCGCGAAAAAGAUCGUAAGACAUACAUGGGAACAUCCCCAAAGUUGGACGACCGGGAGAUGGUGGGUAAAACAUUGUUAAGAAAUGCCGACCUUUUUGCUUGGACUGCUGCAGACAUGCCUGGGGUAAAACCUGAUGUUAUUACUCAUCGUCUAUCCGUAUACAAGGAAGCUAGGCCAAUCACCCAGAAGAAAAGGAAGUUAGGGGAAGAAAGGCGUAAGGUCGCCUGAGAAGAAACCGAUAAGUUGGUUCAAGCUGGUUUCAUCCAGAAGGCUCACUACACAUGGUUAACCAACGUAGUAAUGGUUAAAAAGUCAAAUGGUAAAUGACGAAUGGUAAAUGACGAAUGUGUGUAGACUAUACAGACCUCAAAAAAGCAUGUCCAAAAGACUCGUAUCCCCUGCCGACUAUUGAUCGACUGGUUGACAGAGCAGCUGACCACCAGAUCCUAAGUUUUCUUGAUGCAUACUCAGGUUAUAACCAAAUCUAGAUGCACCUCGAGACAAAGAGAAAACGGCUUUUAUGACAGACUCUAAUAACUUCUAUUACGAGGUCAUACCGUUUGGCCUCAAGAACGCCGAAGCUACUUAUCGGCGUUUGAUGGACUACGUCUUUCAUGACAUGAUCGGAAGGAAUGUCGAGGUAUAUGUUGACGACAUUGUUGUUAAAUCUGACUCAUGUGGGCAGCAUGUUUCGGAUCUGAAAGAGGUUUUUCAAGCUCUACGCAAAUACCGCAUGCAUUUGAAUCCUGAUAAAUGCGCGUUCGGCGUAGAAGGAGGGAAGUUCUUGGGCUUCAUGCUCACCCAUAAAGGCAUAGAAGCAAAUCCUGAUAAAUGUAAAGCCAUUACGGAGAUGCGAAGUCCCAACAACCUUAAAGAGAUCCAACAACUGGUUGCCCGACUCACUUCCCUGUCGCGGUUCGUACCUAAACUUGCCGAACAAACGAGACCCAUUAUCCAAUUGUUAAAGAAGACAUCCAUGUUUGAAUGGACCGCUGAGUGCGAGGAGAAUUUUCUUCAGUUGCAGGCAUUUCUGGCUUCCCAGCCAGUUAUACAAAAGUCGAACACACGAGAGCCCAUCAUAGUUUAUCUUGUUGUUUCGAACGAAGCGAUAAGCUCGGUCUUGGUACAAGAAAUAGAUGCAGAGGAGCGCCCGGUGUAUUUUAUUAGUCGAGUACUACAUGGUGCGGAAGUCAGGUAUCAAAUGGUAGGAAAGGUCGCAUUGGUCUUAGUCAUAACCGCACGGCGAAUGCAGAUGUAUUUCCAAAACCAUCGGGUCAUAGUUAAGAUUAAUUACCCCAUUAUGAAGAUCCUUACUAAGCCGAAUUUGGUUGGACGAAUGAUAGGAUGGGCAAUCGAGUUUUCAGAAUUUCACAUUCAAUAUUAGCCCAAGGGGGCAAUUAAAUCUCAAGCCCUCAUCGAUUUCACAGCAGAACUAACUCCACAAUCGAUAUAUGGAGAAGGUUCAUAGUGGAUUUUAUAUGUAGAUGGCUCUUCGAACAAUCGGUUGUGCGGUGCGAGAGUAUUGUUGGAGGGAGCAGGUGAAAUUGUCGUUGAACAAGCCCUGAAAUUUGAGGCCAAGUAUGAGGCCAUCAUAGCCGGCCUUUACCUGGCCAACGAAUUAGAAGUAACCAGGUUAACUUGCAACAGCGAUUCACGAUUGGUGGUCGAACAACUUAGAGAGGAGUACGAGGUAAGGGAAACUUUACUUCAACAAUAUUUUCAUUUCAUUCGAAAUCUUUUAACCAAGUUUGAAUAAGUAUCGUUCCAAAGAGUUCGACGAGAAAAUAACACUGGUGCGGACGCCCUAUCGCGGUUGGCCACCACCAAGAAAAAAGGAGUUCACCAGUCAGUCAUACACGUCACGUUGACCAAGCCUAGUGUUGGCACAGGGGAAUGUAUGGCGACUGAUAUUAAACCAAAUUGGAUGACUCCCAUCAAACAAUACUUGACAGAUGAAAUAUGUGACCCACACUUAGAAAAAACAAUGAGAUAACAGGUCGCCCGGUUCAUACUAAUCAACUAGGGCCUUUAUAGGCGAGGAUACACUCGUCCACUCUUAAAGUGUCUUACUCCCGAGCAAGUCACUUAUGUGAUGACCGAGUUGCACGAGGGGAUAUGCGAAACUCACUCUGGAGCGCGAACCAUAACUGCCAAGGUGUUACGGGUCGGGUACUAUUGGCCGACCGUGCAAGGGGAUUGCACAAGGUUCGUUCGGAAAUUCUUAAAGUGCCAAGAGUAUGGCACCUUAUCACACCAGAAGCCCGAGAAUCUACAUUACAUCUUGUCUCUAUGGCCAUUCGUAAAGUGGGGAAUGGAUAUAAUUGGACCCUUUGCACUUGGCAAGGGGCAAUGUAAAUUCCUGCUGGUCGGCAUCGAUUACUUCACUAAGUGGAUCGAGGCUGAACCCUUGACAGCCUUAACUGCCCGAAAUGUUCAAAAUUUCGUGUGGAAGAAUAUUGUUUGUCGAUUCGGUCUACCCCAGGUUAUUAUUACCGAUAACGGUAAAAAAUUCACCGAUCGAGGGUUAGCGAAGUUCUACGAGAAACUCAACAAUAAACACAUUACAAGCUCGGUCGAGCAUCCACAAACCAACAGCCAAGCAGAGGCCGCCAAUAAGGUCAUCCUCAACGAGCUUAAAAGGAGACUUGGUCCAACGAAGGGAAAUUGGACUAAAGAACUUCUGGAGGUUCUAUGGGCCUACCAGUGUACCCCACAAUCCACAACUCAAGAGACACCCUACAGUCUGACGUACGACACUGAAGCCAUGAUUCCGGUCGAGAUAGGCGAACCUUCAUUACAACGACAAACGUUGGACUUAGACCUAAAUAAGGAAAGCUUGUUGGUCGGCCUUGACCUGAUCAACAAGCUAAGAGAUAAGUGUAGAAUAUGAGAAGAAGCAUGUAAAAUGCGUGUAGCAAGGCGAUACAACACGAAGGUAAAGCCACAAAGCUUCCAGAAAAGAGAUUUAGUCUAACGCAUGCGUAGUGAUGCCCGGAAGGAUGGCGGCAAAUUUUCAAGUAAUUGGAAAGGUCCAUUACGCAUUACCGACACAGCGGCCGGAGGAGCAUAUCAUUUACAAUAUUUAUCAAGAAUGUAUGUACCGAUAACGUGGAAGGUCACGCAUCUCAAAUUUUAUUACAACUGAUGAAUAAACACUAUUGUACUCUUUCCUCGCUCGAUUGUUUUAUCCCUAAGGAGGGUUUUUGGCCAAGAAGGUUUUAACGAGGCACUUUAAAAGUCAUUUAUCAAAAGCAUAUGCGGUUAAUCGUUAUAUACCAAAAUCUUGGUCAGAAAUUCAUAACUUAAAAGGUUAUUUACCAAGUCGUUCGGUCAAUACCUAGUAACUUAAUCGUUAUGUACCAAAAUCUUGGCCAGAAAUUAAUAACUUAAAAUGUUAUUCACCGAGUCGUUCGGUCAGUACCUAAUAACUUUAUCGUUAUGUACCAAAAUCUUGGUCAGAAGUUAAUAACUUAAAUGUUAUUCACCGACACGUUCGGUCAGUGCCCAAUAACUUAAUCGUUAUAUACCAAAAUCAUUGGUCAGAAACUAAUAAUUUAAUUACUAGUUACAGAGGCAUUUAAUCAUCAAUUAAUAACUUAUCGUUAUUUACCAAAUCUUUAGUUUAAAACUUAAUAACUUGUUAUUCACCGAGUCGUUCGGUCAGUACCUAACAAAUUAAUCAUUACUUACCAAAAUCUUGGUCAGAGGUUAACUCAAAUAUUAUUCACCUAGUCGCUCGGUCGGAAAUUAAUAGCUUAUCAUGGCACCACCCAUUCGAUUGGGUAUUAACAAGAGAAUGUUGAACCAAGUGGUGUUCAAGCUUUGAAGAAUCCAAACCCUUUGAAGGAUGAUGAAGCCUUUGAUGUGCUUGGUGUUGCUGUGCUGGUUUAGUAUAGUUCUAGGGUAGUUUGAGUAUUGUAAUCCACCCAUUGAUCGAAUCUAAAGCAUAAGUAUCUCAAUCUUUGUGAAAGUAAAAUGUUUUCAAACUAAGUUAAAACAACCGAUUGUUUUGUCGAAACAACCGAUUGUUUAUACUUAGAUGUUUUGAGAAAAAGAUUGAAAACUGUUUUUAAAAUGGUUGAACUGUUAAGAACCAAAACAACCGAUUGAUUCGAAGAAACAACCGAUUGUUUAUUUUGGGACCAUAACAGAAAAACUGUUUUAUCUUUGACUAAGCAUUAAAUGAUUUAACUGAUUACGCUCCAGUCAUUAAAUGCUUUGACCAAUCUUUUAAUGCAAUUUAAGAGUUUGUUAAGAUUUGAUAACAAACUACAUCUUUGAAUAAAUUCAAAAAAACAGAUUUGAGAAUUAAUCUUUGACAAGUUUUUGCUAAGAGUUUUUGAGUUUUUUCAAAGAGCUGAGAUUGCUGAAAGUUUGUGAUUGAUCAAAGUUGUGGAAUAGGAUUCUGCUUGUAUUGAUUUCAGAUUAUCAUCUGUAACAAGUUUAAUCCUUGUACUCUGUGAAACAAGUUUCGUUUCUGUGUUUGCUGAGAUUGGUUGUGUGUUCUUGAGGGGAUCAAGAUCAGCAAUCUUGGUGUUGGUGUGUUGGCCAAGGAGAGUGUGUGUCUUGAGGUGUUCAAGGUCAUUCUCUGGGUUGUUGUGUAAGUGAUCAAGUUGUGAUUGCUUGGUGGAUUUCCUCAGGGUUUCUGAGAAGACUGGAUGUAGCUCUGGGUUUGGAGUGAACCAAUAUAAACAUCAGUGUGCAAUCUCUCUAUCUCUAUCUCUUUAAAUUCAGUUUUGUUAUUUGAUAACUGGUAUAAACAACCGAUUGUUUCAGUAAAACAACCGAUUGUUUUUCCAGUGUUGUGCCUUUGCUUUAUGUUUUGAAAAACUGAUUUCUUAAUCAAGGUUUUCUUGAAGUAUUUUCAUUCUAGGCUUAAAAGUUUACGAAAAUCUCUCUUAAACAAUUCACCCCUCCCUUUCGUUGAAGGCCAUAUAUUCUAACAAUUGGCAUCAAGAGCUUGGUUCUUGAAAGUUAUUCAAGUUGAUCUAAAAUCCUUUUUUCUAUGGCUGGAAAACUAUCUUUUGAGGAAGGUGUUUCAAUCUACAAACCAACUUUAUUCUGUGGAUUGAAUUAUAAGUUUUGGGAAGCAAGAAUGAAAAUCUUUAUUUGAAGAAAGAAACGAAUACACCUGAUAGAGAAUGCAGAAAUCUGCCUUAGACCAGUAGAACAGAUUGCUCACACAGUGACAACACCUCUAACCAAGCCUUAGAAGCAACCAAGAACAAGCACACUUUGUGAUUUGGAAAAUCUUUCAAGAACACAUUCUAAUCCUCUGAAAAUUCUUAUUUCUCUGUUGUAAAACUUGUUUUCUCAAUUGUAUGAUCAACGUUUAAUCCCAGGAACAAACUCUUUUUUUAUAGGAAAACAUUUUAUAACUAACUUUCAAAAAAUAGUUAAAGUUGUUACAAAAAGAAUAGAUUGAAAUUAAAAUGAACUGAUUUAUUUUCAAAAGCUGUUAGAGAAUUAGUUAUAUGUAGAAGACUUAGUCAAACACCCUAGUGUAAGGAUAAACCGUGAAAAGCCUUUUAAGAGAACCAAGGCACCAGACUUAAAAAGAAUCUAUUCAUUUAUAGAAGAACAGAUUCAUUUUCAAAACGAUAACAGAAACUUUUUAACAAAUAAAACACAGUCGUUUUGAUGGAACGAAGACUUAGUCAAAACACUUGAUGCACAAAACAUGAUUUUUCAAAAACAUUUAAUAAAGGCAUCAGUUUAAGAAAAGAAUCUAUUCAUUUAGAAAAGAACAGAUUUAUUUUCUAUGCAGUAAAGGAUAUUUUUGCAAAAACAUGUGAAAAACAGUUUCAUAAAACUUGUGCUUGCUCUUAUCACAUGGUCAGGGAUUAAGAGGUGAGUUACCCAGCAAAAAGCCUACUCUAAACAACCUCUAAACUAUACCUAAAACAUUCUUAAAGCAAAUGUAAAUACUAAGGAAAUUUACACAAAUGGCUUCAUCAAACACAUGUCUUGAAGGGGCACCAACCAUCUUCAACAGGAGGAACCACCGCCGGCAUGACUUCCUCCACGACAGCUUGUUCUUUUGGUAUUCCCGCGAUGCUACUGAUUUUCCGCCCGGUCGCUUGGCGCUUAAGGUUACUCAUAAACUUGCUCAGGGAGGGAUCCAUCUUCAGGGUAAUAUCUGCAAAAAUAUAUAUACGGUUAAGUCACAUUAACAUAGACGAAUCACGACCGAACACAAAAAAUCCACAUACCAUUUACAUAUGCCCACUUCUUGGACGACCCAUACAAAGCUACCAACUCUCGGGUGGGCAGCUUACAAGGCAACUGGUCAAUGACCAUUAAGAUCUCCUUGUCAAAGGGUGACAAUGACGACCACAACCAAAUACCAAGUUGGGUGGGUUUCUCCGUCCAAUGUAAUGGAAAUUUGGUCGUCCCAUCCGCAUUAUAAAAGAGGUUUCGGCCAUCCGGUUCCACGAAAAUCUUAAAAUAAUUUUCUUUGAAAUUUUUGUAUGAGGUAGUGAAGGCAGCGAAACGGACAUUCCCCGAUCGGCUAGACAACGAAAACCAACUUACAGAGGUGUUUGGAUGCGUGUUAUAGUAAUAUAAAAUCAACUCGGGGGUAGGCUCAAAUUUAAAAACGUGACAUAACACUCAGAAUGCCUGAAGAAUUGCCCACGAGUUGGGAUGCAAUCGCAUGGGUGCAACAUUGAGAAUCCGAAGUACUCCCAUAGUAAAUUUAUCAAAAGGAAUGGUAACGUGCAAGUUGGCAAAAAAAGUAUUAUAUGCAAAAAAGAAGUCAUGUGGCGCAUUUUCCCGACCGUGGCACACACGGUCGGUCACGCCACAAAUAUUCGCAGUUAUUGCCUCGGAUGGACAGUCAGGCAUAAAAAAGUUAUCAUUUUCAUAAAUAAAUUUAUCUGAAUCAUCAGAGGUCCUAACCCUAGUUGGGAUUUUGAGGACUGACGGAUCAACCCAAUCGUAGCUUGGACCGUCUGACGACUGACUCGCAUUACCAGAUGCGGUGCGAGUCACAGACGACUCGACAUUGACAACACUCUAGGAAGAUUCUACUAGGGAAUGCAUUACUAACAUUGACCGAAGAAUUUGACGCAUUAAACCCAGCACGCGCAAUUGACUCGGCACUCGGAGCAAGCAACGCAAGACUCAAGCUUAGAAAGAAAGCGUAAAACUUUUAAACUAUCAGUGAAUCACUAUUUAUAGCCAACGAAGUAGGUGAGAGAGUUCCCCAUCACUCGUCCAGCACCCUUAGAUCGAAUAUAAUCUAACGGUUAAACUCACUCGACAUUCGAAACGACACGAAAUCUCCAUCGUUGAAGGCAUCCGAUGAAACAGUGCAUCACGAAAUGGCGACUCUGUCAAAGGUCACUUCUUGUCACAUCUCUGCCAUGCAUUUAAGGUUGCCAUCUGCCAUGCAUUACCCCGAAAUCAACAGCCAUUAUAUACAACUCUUCGACAAUAAAUCUCUUUGAGCCUGGGGGGCAAGUGUACCGGUCGGACCCCGGACAACCGAGGACAUGGAUUAAUAAUACAACAUAAUAAAUACGUGGCAAGAAAGCAGUUACAACUGACGUUGAAUGAGUCAAAGACUGAUGGAGAUAAAAAAGAAGAGGAUUUUACUAAUGGAGGAAGAGGCCAUCCACCCAAACAUUUAAAGUUCUUCCUUCUAGUCUUCUCAAAAUUAAAGAAAGAAUUAAAUAAAGAGAGGAUCAAGCCCAAAGCCAACAAGAAGACUACAAGCAUUCAAGAAUGGGCUCCAAUUAAUAUCUUUCUUUGUAAUUUAUUUUGUAUAAAUUUGUAAAACAUAUAGGAGUAAUGUUUAGGAAGGUACUAAGAGGAAAACCAAAAAGACACCUGUUUUGUAAGUACCUUAGGCGUUAGUUUUUAGGAAGAAACUAGAAAGUUGUCUCUUCACACUCCUUUAGGCACUAGAAUAAAAGGAGUUGGAAGGUGACCUUUCAAAAGCUUCUCUUGUAAGCUUCUCUUGUACUUUGUGACCAAUCCUCUCUAUUAUAAAAGGGGUGCUUAGGUCUUUGAAAUAAUAAGAUUGAUUUUGUGAGUAUUGAACCUCUACCAAAUUGGUGAGUGAUUGAGAGAGACUUGUGUCUUCUUCUCUUCUAGUCUUAUCUUGAGUGAAUUCUUGGACUCUCAAGUGGCGGCAACAACACUCAUCUUGAAGCCAACCAUCCUUCAAGUGGCGUGCACAUUCCAAGGGCUUCAUCCACAUAAGUCCAUUUUCCCUUCAUUCCAAAUUACUCAUUUUUGUUCUACUUGUUUGUUUUCACUUUCAAUCGAUGCAAUCUCUUCCUUAUGAUGUCCUCUUUCAUUUGCUGCACUUAUAUUCAAUUUUAAUCAGUGCAAAUUGGUUGUUCUUGCUGUUUUGGUCACGUCCUCCAUGGGUAUAAAUGCUAUAUGUUGUGUUCUUGAGUUUCUAUCCAUGGGUUUGUUGUUCAAAAUGGGUUUCUAUGUGAGUUUGGCUUGGUUACUUGUGUUUUGGUGAGUUCUUGAAUGUUAAGAACAUUCAUCCCAUUCUUAAAAGUGCCUAAUCAUAUUCCAACUCUCGUUGAAUCCAUAACAUGUUCAUAUCAUAUCCAUAUCAUGUUAUUGGAAUCAUAUUAAAGACACAUUUCGAAACGCACUCCCGUAAUAUCAGGAAGCCACUACACACGACUUAAGGACCACUACACAUGUCUUGGCAAACUAAUUAUCUGGCCCACACGAGUAGAGGCCUAAGUCAACCUAUAAAGGAGACUUCUAAAGGGAGAAAAGGUACGUUUUUCAUAUUCUGAGAGAACAAACAAAACACUAGCACUGACUUGAGCGUCAGAGUGCAAUCGCAGGUACCCCGUCCGACCGACGGAGCACACGCGUAGGAGAGGAAGAGCUUUGAAGGAUUUGGAGGCUACCAGCACGACAACGAAUUGUGUACCAAGUGGACAAGCAUUACUUAGGCCUCGACAUCCAUGCAUAUAUAUAUAUAUAUAUAUAUAUAUAUAUAUAUAUUAAUAUUAUAUUCUUAAUGAUGUUUUUUAAAUAAAUAAUCUAAAAUACAAGUAUUAAAAUAAUAGAUAAAAUUAAAUUUAAUAUCUUUAAAGUAAUUUAUUUUAAUAUACUAUUAUUUAAAAUAUUUUUUAUUUUUUAAAUUUAUAAUAAUAUUUUAUUUUAAAUUUAAAUUUAUCUUAAUUUAAAUAUAAAUUUUUAAAAACUAUUUUUUAUAUCAAAUUUUUUUUAAAUAUAUUAAUACAAAAUAUUUAAUCAAAUAAACUAAAAAUUUCUAUAUUUAUUUCACUGAAAUUUUUUAUUUUUUUCUUUAAUGUAAAUAGUUAUACUUCCUAUCUCUUUUCUUUUCCAUUUUUUCCUGUUUUUUACUCCCUCCCUAAUUCUAAAAACGUAAUUAAAAAUACAUCAGACAAUGAUCAAGAGUAAAUGCACUUGAGUAUAAUAACAAUUUUUUUUCAAUAACUCGUUAGCCAGUAUAUUUCGAUUAAAAAUGUCGAAUUCACGAUAAAACAUUUCGUAUUUUAUUUUUUGCAUCUUAUACAGUAAUUUAAAAACAUUAAAGUUAUAAAUAUAAUGGAUAAUUGCUUUAUUUUGUCUUUCUUUAUUUUCAAAAUUAAAUGUGAAAAUAUAAUAUUUUUGUUGUUCAUAUCGAGGAAAACUAUUAUAAAUACAAAAUAACCAAUCGUGCAAAAGUUUAUCAAAACUAAAUACAAAAUAUCAAUUUAAAACACUAUUUAAUUUCAACCAAUCGUGCAAUAGUUUAUCUUAAACCUUAAUUGUUCGUUAUUUCAUUGUAAGAUGUCUUUAUCUAAAAAUGAAAUUUAUAAAUGUAAUAAAUGUAAUAAAUGAAUACAAAAUAACCAAUAAAUGAGCAAAAAGAUAUUUAUUAAAAUCAUUAAUGUCUAUUACUUUUUCUCGAUAUUUCAUAAUAAACUAAAAUUAAAAAAAUAUAAAUGAUGUAUUGAAAAUUUAGGCUUAAAUUCAUAUUUGAUUCCAAUAAUUUUACUAGUGUGUAAUUUAAGUCCUUAUAAUUUUAAUAAAAAAAUUUAUUUUUCGGUUUUUUAAUAUUAAGUACUUUUUGUUCCAUGUUUUUUAAAAAUGAAGUAAAAAUGUUAUUGCAUGUACUAAUAGACAAUCAUUAAAUAAAAAUCAAUCUUAGAGACAAAAAAUAAUUAAUUGUUAUAUAAACUAAAUUAAAUACUAUUUUGGAGAUUAAAAAAUUUAUUGAUAUCUAAAUUAGUUUUAUUAUUGAUGAAUAGUUUCUAAAUUGAUAUAUAAUUAACUAUCAAGACUUUAACUACCAAUUAUUUAGUUGAUAAAGUUGGUAGUUAAUCAAAUACCAAUUUAGAAACUAAUUUAGAUAGCAAUUAUUUUUUUAGUUUCUAAAAUACUAUAUAAUUUAGCCAAUAUAAUAACUAAUUAUUUUUUGUCUCCCCCUCUCUAUAUAUAUAUAUUUUAGCAUGAAAAUGUUUUGUUAUUAGGGAGAAUGGGAGACCCAAGUUUUAAAUGAAAAAAAUAGAAAGGCCAUAAAUAAACCAUAAGCAUUUAUUCUUUACUUUAUUAAGAAUUUCAUCUCACUAAAUAGUUUUUCUUUGAAAUCUAAGUUUAGAGAGAAUAAUUAAGAUAUUAUUAUGUUGUUAGCUUACAUAUGUGUGAGGAGGUAGAAAAUGAAGACGAUGUUAGUGUAGGGUUUGAUAAUUUGAAAAUCAAAAACUAUAUUGGAUUUUUGAAGUGAAAUAUGAAAUAUUUACUUAAUUAGAUGUGUAAAAAAUGUUAUUGUUGAUUUAUAAGCAUGUAAAAUGUAUAUCUUUAUACUUAUGAGCGAGAAUAAUUGUAAAGUAUAUAUGAAGUUAAUGUAGUGAUUAUCAAUAAGAUUGACGUAUUAGAAGGAUUUGAGUAUAAUAUGAGGUUAAACUUAAAAUUAAAUCACUUAUUGAUUGAAAAAUGAUGCUUUUUCAGUGUGAUAUCACUCAAGUGAUAGGUUACACUCAAGUGAUACUUAAGUAUGACUUAAACGAUGAGUCAUGCUUACAUUUACCAUUAAUCAAGAUGGAUUGUAACGAUAUAAUGUAUAACUCAAGUUAAGUUUUGUAACUUGGUGAUAGUGAAGUUUAAAAAACCUUUUCUCCUUUUUCGAAAGAGUUGAUGUUUAAGCAAUAAUGUUUUCACUCAUGUAUGAAACAUGAAGGUGAAACAUUAAUUUAUAAAACAUGUGAUAUACAAACAUAAUUUUAUCUACCUAUCAUUUUUGUUAUGUUUACUUUAAACCACUUUUAACCUAUGAAUUGAUUAAAAUGAUUUGAGAAUAUAAGAACAUAAAUUGUUUAAAUAUAAUUAUAUCUUUUAAAAAAAUAACAUUUUAAUAGUAAAAUGUCAAAUAAAUAAGAUAUGGAUAUUUGUUUUUGGAGUUUUUAUUUAUUUUAUCUAAAACUGAAUUGAAAGUUGGUGGUUUCAAGUUGUUUAAUUUUCUUUUACUAGUAAAAUAAUUUUAUACAUUAACUAUUUAGUCUGACCCACUUAAAUUAUUUUAAUACGAGAUGGUAUAUAUAAAGAAGAUUUUUCUUUAUAAUUGUUUUUUUUUACACAAUUUUUUUCUUAUUAUACUCUUAUUUAAUAUAUCUUAUUUUAUUAAUACAAUGAAAUAUUUUGUCAUUUCAUACGAAUUACUUAAAAAAUGAAAUUUUAAUUUUUAAACUAAUGUUAAGGGACAAUUUUUAUAUGUAAACUAAUUUUCCACUCUUCUCUUAAUUUCUUAUUUUAAGGGAACAAAAUAAAUAAAUAAAGAAAAAACAUAUACUCUCUCUUAUUCGGUUCUCACACCAAAUCUCAUAUAUAAAAUAAAAUAACAUCAAUUUCCAAUUACUCUCUCCACUCCAUUUUAAGCAACUCUAUUUUUUGGAUCUACUAUCAAGUGAAUCAUAACCUUAAUGUAAAUCUCAUCACACUCUUCGAUUCCAAAACCACCAUUCGAAAAAGAGAAAAAACUUGAAAAAUAAAAGAAACUCAAACUAGAAAAGAAAAAAAAAAGAUUGAUUAAUCAAUUCAUAUUUUUCUUUACAUGUUAUUUUUUGUUUUUCAAUUUCAACUCCUCCAAAAUUAUUUCCGUGUAUAUGUUAAAUUUCUAUGAAAAAGUUGAAAAAAAAUGAAAAAUGUAAAUACAAAGUUGAUGUUGCCCGCCUGUAUUUCCGCUAAUAUCUAUAGUAAAUAUCAUAAAUCAAUAACAUUCAUACGUGUGUGAUGUAAAUUUAGCACCAUUAAACUAUUACAAGUAUGAUGAGAAAAAUAAAAUACUAGAUUAAUGAAAUACAUAACGUAAAUUAAUGUUUUCUUUAAUUUAAAACAUGUCAUGGUCACAAUUAGGAUGAUUAACAUGUCACGGUUCAAGUUUACUAAAUUACAAGACAUAUCACGUUUAAAUUUUCAUUAAAAAUAAAAUUUUCCAAUACAAGUUUAUCUAUACAGAUAAUUCUCUAAAUGCUUUUUUAGUGUAUGUAAUUACUUUUCCAUUUUAUUCUUAUAUAAAUAUUUUAUAUUAUUAUUAUAUAAUUAUGGGCAUUCUCUUAAGUGGAGGGACGAUUUUGAAUGGAAAUAUAUGUGGAGAACACUUUUAAAUUGAAAGAUUGAAAGAGAUUGUUUAUUUUCAAAACCAAUUGUAUAGAGAGUGUGUGUCUCUUCAAAUUUUCUUCAAAUUUUGAGAGAGAGAAAAAUAUGAGGAAAAAUAUUGGAGAAGAUAGAAGAGAGUACUGUUCAAGAGAAUAACUCGGCUUAGACAUAUUGAGUCGUAGGAGAAUCGACACAUGUUGGCAUACACCACCACUUCCGACUACAACAUUCGUUUAACAACAUAGGGUUUGGUACAGGCAUGUCACGCCGGCGUCCGCCUUUGCCGUGUGAUUGGUGUCUCUGUCGUGUGGAAAGAGUCACAGAUUUGGGAGCAGGAUUUCUAGAACUUUCAGGUGAAAGAGAGGAUGAAAGUAAUAAAGGAAACUCGCAAACGUUUGGAAGAUUGUUUUAUCGCUUCUUCGUGGGAGAGUCUGCUACCAAUGUUUCUUAUUGUGUUUCAAAUAACCUCUUUCUCUUUACCAUUCCUCUCCAAAUACUGCUCAUUAUUCUUCAUUUUUAUUUAAUUUUAUUGAUAAAUACUUUAACGGUUUAAAUUAACAGGAUUUGAAAAUCAUGAGGAAAGGUAAAGAGCAGAAGCACAACAACCGUCUUAUAUGUUAAAUUUCCCUUUCUUAAUUUUUGCUCAAUUUUAGGUUUUCUCUUCAUAUCUUUCAUUUUCACCCCAUUCAAUUACCACAACAAAAUGUUGACGCAGCAGCGAAAAACUGAGAGCUAAAGGAAUUGAAGUGUUAGGAGUUGUUUGCCAUUUUUCUAAUCCUCAACAAUGGAAGGACUUGAUACACAAAACUCUGCAGGUCAGACCUUCAGAUAAAUGAUCUCUAUCAGUUGAGUUGUUGCGACUUGCUGUUAGGGAUGAGCCUCGUUGUGGGGUACGUGGCGACGAAGGUGGCGUUGGAAGGGUGGAAGGACAAGGAGAAUCUCAUGCUGAUGUGGAUAUGUAGAGUUAUGUGGAUCACAAGAAUGUGUGCGACAUGUAAUUUUUUUGUUUGGAUAUUCUUUUUUAAUGCAAAUACUUUAACACUAAUCAUCAUUUUUAAGUAAUUCUUAUUGAUAGUUUUAAUUUACAGUAUUUUUAUUGUUUUUUUUAGUGUUUCAUUUUUGUAAGAAAAUCAUGCCUUUAUUUUUAUUUUUUUUUCAUUUCGUUGGUAACAAGUACUUUCUUAUUGUAAAGAAGGAUAACCUGCAUUGUUGCCAAGAGUUUUGAACAGUAGAAACAUUUUAACUUUCAAAUCUUGUAAAUUGCUUGCAAUUUGUUUUUAAAGAUUAAACAUGAAAGAAACCCAUGUCGUACUUUCGGCACAAAAUAACUAAGGAAAUCUUUAGUUUAAGAGCUAACUAAGCUAAAUCAUAUUUCAUGUGUAUCUCCACAUUAGACAGAAAACUGUAUUUUCUCACCAUUUUUAGUGUUUAGUUACUAUUUGCAUUCUUUUAUACCCAAUUUUGAUAAUAAAUUUAUAUGUAUAUGCACUUUCUAAUAUGCAAUAUGUGUCAUAUUUGCUAAUUUAUUUGUAGGUAGUGUAAGAUAUGAUUUGUUAUUGUGUCCUGACCAGUCAUCGGUCAUCGACCUAGAGACUGGAGCACCUAUGCUUGGUGAUGGAAGGGGGUCACGAGGUGGACCCCAGACACACUUACCAGAAGAUUGGUUAGUCUUUGGACGUUGGUAACCUAAGCCCGAUGUUGGAAGAUCGAUAUCGGACAUCGCCAGCAGAGAGAGGAGAUCGGACAUCGAUAGUUUGAACGUUGUAGAAGAACACGUAAGGUGGGCUUAAGAGUUACGAUGAGUUAAUAGUCAAAGACAUGAGAUAUGUGAGAAGCCUAAGUCACGAGGAAUCCAUGCACGUGGUGUGUAUGACGGAUGAAGGCACAACACGUGAGGAUAAUCCUGGGAGGUGUUAAAGCCCAUUAGGGUUAGGGUUUUCAGGGAAGCUACAUGCAUGACAGUGAAUACUUAGGACACCCACGAAGCAGAUAACGCUAGAGAAUAGGUGCACAGGUUGGUACCCAAGCGGCCACUCUGAUUAUUCAUUGCACUCCAGUUAAGGAAAGUUUCAUGUGUUAGAUACGCUAAGAUUACCUAAAUAGCGACGCAGAGACAUUUUCCUAGGAACCCUAGAUAAGAGUAACAAUAGAAAGGCAAACCCUAUAGUUUCAGCCUAUAUAAAGGGUGCCCAGAACCCUAGUAAGGUAAGCAAUUUCUAAGACUGAAGCUAAUAUAUACACUUGGUGUUUCUUUGCCCUAAUACUGACUUGAUCGUUGGAGUGCAAACGGCCGCUAGGGCGUCCCUUUGUCUUUGCAGGUGAGAGGUUUAUUGAUUAAGAAGGCACAAUUCUCAGACAAGAUUGAAAGGCCAAAGCAGCUGUUGGAGUCAACCGGUGAACGAAGUGAACUGACAGGAUCAAUUAUCGUAUAUAUUUGUAGUUAAUAAUUAAGGAUAAACAAAAUUAAUUUAAUACAUAUUAUAAAAAUCAAUUACGCUACCUAUAUAUAUAUUUGGUAGAUUAUUGUCAUGAUGUUAUAUCUAUUAUAUAUUAUAGUAAGCUGUAAUUAAUUUUAUCACAAAUUUAUCACGCCUGACAAUAUAUUAAUUAAUUUAAUAAUAAAUACAAUUAAAAGAUUAAAUAUCAUAAUAGUAAAAUAAAAAAUAUUAUUAAAAAAUCAUAAAAUAAAUAUUUGACUAAAUUAAAUAUAUAUUAGAAGUUGCAUACUACACUACUUAAUGUAUACUAGAAAGUGCAGAUAGGAUAUAAAUAUAUNNNNNNNNNNNNNNNNNNNNNNNNNNNNNNNNNNNNNNNNNNNNNNNNNNNNNNNNNNNNNNNNNNNNNNNNNNNNNNNNNNNNNNNNNNNNNNNNNNNNAAAUAAUUAUAAUAAAUAAAUAAUAUAAUAUAAUUAUUAGUUUAUUUAAUAAACAAUAAAAACAACAUAUAUAAUAUAUAUAUAUAUAUAUAUAUAUAAAUAAGAUAGUUUUAUCCUUAAAUAUUUAUUUAAUUUGUAUUUUUUUUGGGUAAGGUGAUCAGAAAUUAUUAGAGUAAUCACUUAAUUCACAUCCACCUUUGAAGCCGACAUCAUACACGAUCUGAACGGUCCAUAAGAAUGAAAUCCAGCGGUAGCCAUCAUCGAUCCGUGUCAUUUACUCUCAUUGGCUCAAUUUCCAUGCAGCCUACUAUAUAAAUCUCGCAACUGCUAAAAUUAUUUACUUUCAAAUAAACUCUCUUCUCAUAUUCCCUAAAGCACUAACCUCCUAUAGGCAAUUCUUGCAUCUUGCAUUUUCUCUUUCCCACAAUUAGAUCACAGUUCAUCAAUGGCAGGUCGAGGCAAAACCCUAGGGUCCAGCGCUGCUAAGAAGGCAACCUCCAGGAGCAGCAAAGCUGGUCUCCAAUUUCCUGUUGGCCGUAUUGCCAGGUUCCUCAAGGCUGGAAAGUAUGCCGAGCGAGUUGGUGCCGGUGCUCCUGUCUAUCUCGCCGCUGUCCUCGAAUAUCUUGCCGCUGAGGUAGUUCCUUGUGUUCUUAUAAUUCUAUAUAUAAAUUAGUACUUGAUGUUGUCAGAUCUAGGGUUUGAAAUAUAGGUUCAUUUCCCCUAAUUAACCGAAGAAUUAUUUAUUUACUUACAAGCAAUUGGAUGAUUUGACUUUGGUUUUUUUUAUUGUGGCUUCAAUUGAUAGUUUGAUUUUGAUGUUUUCAGGUUCUUGAGUUGGCUGGAAACGCUGCCAGAGAUAACAAGAAGACUCGAAUUGUUCCUCGCCACAUUCAAUUGGCAGUGAGGAACGACGAAGAGCUGAGCAAGCUUCUUGGUGAUGUUACCAUUGCUAACGGUGGUGUUAUGCCUAACAUUCACAAUCUUCUACUUCCCAAGAAGGCUUCAUCCAAGGGUGCUGCUGGAGCUGACGACGACUCUUAAAUCGACUCAGUCUUCGU
RNAcentral lists this long non-coding RNA (27072 nucleotides) under Phaseolus vulgaris (common bean). RNAcentral describes it as "long non-coding RNA (PVUL_LNC003075)". Lineage: Eukaryota; Viridiplantae; Streptophyta; Magnoliopsida; Fabales; Fabaceae. The record is from RNAcentral.